Molecule: ribosomal RNA, 648 nt
Filed under: uncultured Alphaproteobacteria bacterium
Lineage: Bacteria; Pseudomonadati; Pseudomonadota; Alphaproteobacteria
Description: bacterial SSU rRNA
Rfam family: Bacterial small subunit ribosomal RNA
Source: RNAcentral
GUCGAACGGGUGCAGCAAUGCAUCAGUGGCAGACGGGUGAGUAACACGUGGGAACCUUCCUCGGGGUACGGAACAACGCAGGGAAACUUGCGCUAAUACCGUAUACGUCCGUGAGGAGAAAGAUUUAUCGCCCUGAGACGGGCCCGCGUCGGAUUAGCUAGUUGGUGGGGUAACGGCCUACCAAGGCGACGAUCCGUAGCUGAUCUUAGAGGAUGAUCAGCCACACUGGGACUGAGACACGGCCCAGACUCCUACGGGAGGCAGCAGUGGGGAAUCUUGGACAAUGGGCGCAAGCCUGAUCCAGCCAUGCCGCGUGAGUGAAGAAGGUCUUCGGAUUGUAAAGCUCUUUUGCCAGGGACGAUAAUGACGGUACCUGGAGAAUAAGCCCCGGCAAACUUCGUGCCAGCAGCCGCGGUAAUACGAAGGGGGCUAGCGUUGUUCGGAAUUACUGGGCGUAAAGCGCACGUAGGCGGGUCGUUAAGUCAGGGGUGAAAUCCCGGAGCUCAACUCCGGAACUGCCUUUGAUACUGGCGAUCUCGAGAUCGGAAGAGGUGAGUGGAAUUCCCAGUGUAGAGGUGAAAUUCGUAGAUAUUGGGAAGAACACCGGUGGCGAAGGCGGCUCACUGGUCCGAUACUGACGCUGAGGUG